UACGUAGGGUGCAAGCGUUGUCCGGAAUUAUUGGGCGUAAAGAGCUCGUAGGCGGUCUGUCGCGUCGGCUGUGAAAACCUGGGGCUCAACCCCGGGCCUGCAGCCGAUACGGGCAGACUAGAAUUCGGUAGGGGAGACUGGAAUUCCUGGUGUAGCGGUGAAAUGCGCAGAUAUCAGGAGGAACACCGGUGGCGAAGGCGGGUCUCUGGGCCGAUAUUGACGCUGAGGAGCGAAAGCGUGGGGAGCGAACAGG
Molecule: ribosomal RNA, 253 nt
Filed under: uncultured bacterium
Lineage: Bacteria
Description: partial 16S ribosomal RNA
Rfam family: Bacterial small subunit ribosomal RNA
Source: RNAcentral